RNAcentral lists this antisense RNA (81 nucleotides) under Shewanella mangrovi. RNAcentral describes it as "antisense RNA of dnaA mRNA". It matches the Rfam family "antisense RNA of dnaA mRNA". The record is from Rfam by way of RNAcentral. Lineage: Bacteria; Pseudomonadati; Pseudomonadota; Gammaproteobacteria; Alteromonadales; Shewanellaceae.
UUUUGCAUUCGGCUUAUUUUUCAAAAUGCCAUUACCGACGGCAUGCAAUAAGUGGGUUUUACCUAGGCCGGUGCCACCAUA